RNAcentral lists this ribosomal RNA (474 nucleotides) under uncultured bacterium. Its description in RNAcentral is "bacterial SSU rRNA". It matches the Rfam family "Bacterial small subunit ribosomal RNA", at positions 335 to 801 of the family's 1533-position model. The record is from RNAcentral.
ACUCCUACGGGAGGCAGCAGUAGGGAAUCUUCCACAAUGGGCGCAAGCCUGAUGGAGCAACACCGCGUGAGUGAAGAAGGGUUUCGGCUCGUAAAGCUCUGUUGUUAAAGAAGAACACGUAUGAGAGUAACUGUUCAUACGUUGACGGUAUUUAACCAGAAAGUCACGGCUAACUACGUGCCAGCAGCCGCGGUAAUACGUAGGUGGCAAGCGUUAUCCGGGAUUUAUUGGGCGUAAAGAGAGUGCAGGCGGUUUUCUAAGUCUGAUGUGAAAGCCUUCGGCUUAACCGGAGAAGUGCAUCGGAAACUGGAUAACUUGAGUGCAGAAGAGGGUAGUGGAACUCCAUGUGUAGCGGUGGAAUGCGUAGAUAUAUGGAAGAACACCAGUGGCGAAGGCGGCUACCUGGUCUGCAACUGACGCUGAGACUCGAAAGCAUGGGUAGCGAACAGGAUUAGAUACCCUGGUAGGAUAGCG